This 2585-nucleotide long non-coding RNA is filed under the name Homo sapiens (human). RNAcentral's name for it is "HSALNT0184810". Lineage: Eukaryota; Metazoa; Chordata; Mammalia; Primates; Hominidae. The record is from RNAcentral.
CUUUCACUUUCACUUAGAGCAAGAUGGCAGCCCGCGUCCCUGUGUGAAGCCGUCUGCAGCAGCUGCCAGAGCCCUGCUUGCUGUUUCCUUUCUCACCACCCACCUCACCCGGAAAUCCCCUGGUGAUUUCAAGACCUGACCUCUGCACCCUUUUGCUCCCCACCUGUCCCAAAAAAGUGGAGCUAUAACUGUGGGAAAAGGGGAUCUGAAGUCAGACACAGGAUCCACAGUAGCCUGGGGACCUUUCUCACCCCCGCCCUUAAGCAGGCCCCAACAUAACCGGCUGAGAAACCUCCUCUGCCAGAUCCUGACCUGAGCCAGGAGGCGGCCAGGAAACUGGAUUUUGGGACUGGGAUUUCAGAGAGGAAGCUGGAGAGCUGCAGGUCUCGAAAAGGCACUCUGUCACGUGUACACAGGAAAGGGCCCUGACAAGAGGAUGGGACUGCAGUUGUGGCUGCCAGGGCCCCGGCCAGGGUGAAAACAAGGAACAUUCCAGAGAAGAUCACAAGGAUGCGAAUAAAAUCGGAGCUGCACAGGGAUCUUUGGGCUGAGCUUUCUGUCUGGCUUCCCUCCUGGCCCCUCGUGUAUGCAUUCUCUCUAGCGGUGGGGAUUAAGGAGAAAACUCACGUGGCCAGUGGGUAGAGAGAGUCCGGGCAGGCAGCUGCCUGAAGUCAGCCAGAGUCUGCAUGUGCCCAGCUGUCCUGGCCUCCAGCAUCUCUGGAAAAACAGAGACAGAAUGAGUAGCAGCAGGGGACCCCAUAGGGCACAUCUGAAGGCCUGAGAGGUGCUGGAUGGGAUGGGAAGGCAGAAACAGGCUGACCUUAUCUAGGGGUAGGAGUGGGGAGUACUGGUUGGGGUAUCACCGCUACCCCACGUGAUGGCACAGAGAGUUGCCUGGAACUUACCACUGACAUAAGGUUGGAGUGCAGUGGCACGAUCUCGGCUCAGUGCAACCUCCGCCUCCUGAGUUCAAGUGAUUCUCCUGCCUCAGCCUCCCUAGUAGCUGGGAUUACAGGACAAGGAGAGGGACAAAUUCCUUCUUGGCAUCCUUAUGGCCCUGUGACCUGCUAAUGAAUGCUGACUCUGAGUUGCUACUAGAAUUUGGUUUCCUUGUGGCUUCCCAGGAAUUGUGAGCCAUGUUGGAUAAGGACCUGCAAGGGAAGAAUGAGGAAGCCUGGGACAGUGCAGGAGGGGAGAGCACUGGUGGUAGAGAGGAGUGAUGACAAGGGUCUCCGCCAAAAGGGAAAUGGAGGGGUUAAAGAAGCUGCUGGGGAGGGUUAAAAACAAUGUGUUCUCACUCGUAGGUGGGAAUUGAACAAUGAGAACACUUGGACACAGGAAGGGGAACAUCACACACUGGGGCCUGUCGUGGGGUGUGGGGAGGGAGGAGGGAUAGCAUUAGGAGAUAUACCUAAUGUAAAUGAUGAGUUAAUGGGUGCAGCACACCAACAUGGCACAUGUAUACCUAUGUAACAAACCUGCACAUUGUGUACAUGUACCCUAGAACUUAAAGUAUAAUUAAAAAACAAAACAAAACAAAACAAAAACAAUGAGGUGCUAUUGUUUUAGUGGUGAGUAUCCGGAGACCUGGGAGUUCUAUUUACCAGGUAUAACCUGGGCUCAAAAUUCCAGGCUGACUUCAGGCAUGUCCUCAUCUCGGUCUCACUCUGCUCACUCUGUCUCCCAAGCUGGAGUGCAGUGGUACAGUCACGGCUCACUGCAGCCUCCACUUCCUGGACUCAAGUGAUCUUCUCACUUCAGCCUUCUGAGUAGCUGGGACUACAGCCCCCUCUGCAGCUCUUCAUGGGGGUCCACUCAAGUCAGAAGCCACAUUUGGGUGUGAUUCAGAGAGCUGUUUAUGCAAAACCAGCUUUGUCACCAUCAGGCAAGGCACCUGAAUUCCCACCGCAGAGAGUGUUGUGGCCGUGAGGACUUUUCUGUCACCAGCCAUUUCCAGGUAGACCCAGUGUAAUCACAAGCAUCCUUGUAAGUGGCAAAGAGGCAGAGGAGACAGCGCCAGAGAGGCAGCUGCAUGAGAAGGAUCAAGAUGUUGCUGACUUUGAAGUUGGAAGAAGAAGGCCAUGAGCCUCAGUAUGUGGGCGGCUUCUAGAAGCUGGAAGGGGCAAGGAGAUGGAUUUGACCCUUCAGCCUCCAGGGGCAGCUGUACCUGCCAUCACUGAUUGUAGCCUGGUGAGGCCUGUUUUAGACUUCUGACCUGUAGAGCUGUAACAUAAUACAUUUGGGUUGUUUUCAACCACUAAGUUUGUGGUAAUUUGUUGUAGCAGCUGUAGAAAAUGAAUACAUAUGAAUCCUCUGGCAUUUGUUUGAGAUUUGCUCUAUGGCCUAGUAUGUGGUUGUAAAUGUUCCAUCUGUGCCUGAAAAAAUGUAUAUUUCUAAUUCAGUAGUCUCUGCUUUUUUUUUUUAUUUUGUACCCCAUCAAUAAAAUGAUUUUCAGCAUGUAUCCCCAAAUAAACAAUAUUUUAUUUAUUGAUUGAUUGAUAAACAGACAUGUUUAAUGAUAGCUUGCUUUUCACAGAGGUGACUUCGGAGACUUCUAAUCUAUAAUCCAGGAGUAUAUAACCAUG